Molecule: long non-coding RNA, 1582 nt
Organism: Homo sapiens (human)
Lineage: Eukaryota; Metazoa; Chordata; Mammalia; Primates; Hominidae
Gene: MEG3
Product: maternally expressed 3
Source: Ensembl
CGGAGAGCAGAGAGGGAGCGCGCCUUGGCUCGCUGGCCUUGGCGGCGGCUCCUCAGGAGAGCUGGGGCGCCCACGAGAGGAUCCCUCACCCGGGUCUCUCCUCAGGGAUGACAUCAUCCGUCCACCUCCUUGUCUUCAAGGACCACCUCCUCUCCAUGCUGAGCUGCUGCCAAGGGGCCUGCUGCCCAUCUACACCUCACGAGGGCACUAGGAGCACGGUUUCCUGGAUCCCACCAACAUACAAAGCAGCCACUCACUGACCCCCAGGACCAGGAUGGCAAAGGAUGAAGAGGACCGGAACUGACCAGCCAGCUGUCCCUCUUACCUAAAGACUUAAACCAAUGCCCUAGUGAGGGGGCAUUGGGCAUUAAGCCCUGACCUUUGCUAUGCUCAUACUUUGACUCUAUGAGUACUUUCCUAUAAGUCUUUGCUUGUGUUCACCUGCUAGCAAACUGGAGUGUUUCCCUCCCCAAGGGGGUGUCAGUCUUUGUCGACUGACUCUGUCAUCACCCUUAUGAUGUCCUGAAUGGAAGGAUCCCUUUGGGAAAUUCUCAGGAGGGGGACCUGGGCCAAGGGCUUGGCCAGCAUCCUGCUGGCAACUCCAAGGCCCUGGGUGGGCUUCUGGAAUGAGCAUGCUACUGAAUCACCAAAGGCACGCCCGACCUCUCUGAAGAUCUUCCUAUCCUUUUCUGGGGGAAUGGGGUCGAUGAGAGCAACCUCCUAGGGUUGUUGUGAGAAUUAAAUGAGAUAAAAGAGGCCUCAGGCAGGAUCUGGCAUAGAGGAGGUGAUCAGCAAAUGUUUGUUGAAAAGGUUUGACAGGUCAGUCCCUUCCCACCCCUCUUGCUUGUCUUACUUGUCUUAUUUAUUCUCCAACAGCACUCCAGGCAGCCCUUGUCCACGGGCUCUCCUUGCAUCAGCCAAGCUUCUUGAAAGGCCUGUCUACACUUGCUGUCUUCCUUCCUCACCUCCAAUUUCCUCUUCAACCCACUGCUUCCUGACUCGCUCUACUCCGUGGAAGCACGCUCACAAAGGCACGUGGGCCGUGGCCCGGCUGGGUCGGCUGAAGAACUGCGGAUGGAAGCUGCGGAAGAGGCCCUGAUGGGGCCCACCAUCCCGGACCCAAGUCUUCUUCCUGGCGGGCCUCUCGUCUCCUUCCUGGUUUGGGCGGAAGCCAUCACCUGGAUGCCUACGUGGGAAGGGACCUCGAAUGUGGGACCCCAGCCCCUCUCCAGCUCGAAAUCCCUCCACAGCCACGGGGACACCCUGCACCUAUUCCCACGGGACAGGCUGGACCCAGAGACUCUGGACCCGGGGCCUCCCCUUGAGUAGAGACCCGCCCUCUGACUGAUGGACGCCGCUGACCUGGGGUCAGACCCGUGGGCUGGACCCCUGCCCACCCCGCAGGAACCCUGAGGCCUAGGGGAGCUGUUGAGCCUUCAGUGUCUGCAUGUGGGAAGUGGGCUCCUUCACCUACCUCACAGGGCUGUUGUGAGGGGCGCUGUGAUGCGGUUCCAAAGCACAGGGCUUGGCGCACCCCACUGUGCUCUCAAUAAAUGUGUUUCCUGUCUUAACAAAAACUGAU